Molecule: ribosomal RNA, 508 nt
Filed under: uncultured bacterium
Lineage: Bacteria
Description: partial 16S ribosomal RNA
Rfam family: Bacterial small subunit ribosomal RNA
Source: RNAcentral
GAUGAACGCUAGCUACAGGCUUAACACAUGCAAGUCGAGGGGAAACGAUAUUGGAAGCUUGCUUCCGAUAGGCGUCGACCGGCGCACGGGUGAGUAACGCGUAUCCAACCUGCCCAUCACUUGGGGAUAACCUUGCGAAAGUAAGACUAAUACCCAAUGAUAUCUCUAGAAGACAUCUGAAGGAGAUUAAAGAUUUAUCGGUGAUGGAUGGGGAUGCGUCUGAUUAGCUUGUUGGCGGGGUAACGGCCCACCAAGGCUACGAUCAGUGGGGGUUCUGAGAGGAAGGUCCCCCACAUUGGAACUGAGACACGGUCCAAACUCCUACGGGAGGCAGCAGUGAGGAAUAUUGGUCAAUGGGCGAGAGCCUGAACCAGCCAAGUAGCGUGCAGGAUGACGGCCCUAUGGGUUGUAAACUGCUUUUAUAAGGGAAUAAAGUGGGAGUCGUGACUCCUUUUGCAUGUACCUUAUGAAUAAGGACCGGCUAAUUCCGUGCCAGCAGCCGCCGCAG